RNAcentral lists this long non-coding RNA (210 nucleotides) under Elaeis guineensis (African oil palm). Its description in RNAcentral is "long non-coding RNA (EGUI_LNC043942)". Lineage: Eukaryota; Viridiplantae; Streptophyta; Magnoliopsida; Arecales; Arecaceae. The record is from RNAcentral.
AUUCAUGCAUUGUUUUGAUCUCUUCCUUAUUGGAUCUCAAAUAUGGAUGCUCUGUUUUCUUUUUACUUCUGAAUGUUUCUUAAGCAUCUCCUAUAAUCACCUCAUCAUGUGCAUAUUCUCCCUAAUAAAUCUAGUAAAAAAAGGAAUAUAAUAUGAAAGGAGUAGGAGACGAAUGAGAAAUAGAGAGAGGCUCUUAUUAUUUUCCCUCCC